UACGGAGGGAGCUAGCGUUAUUCGGAAUUACUGGGCGUAAAGAGCGCGUAGGCGGUUAUACAAGUUGGAAGUGAAAGCCCAAGGCUCAACCUUGGAACUGCUUUCAAAACUGUAUAACUAGAGAUUGAUAGGGGAUAGCGGAAUUCCUAGUGUAGAGGUGAAAUUCUUAGAUAUUAGGAGGAACACCGGUGGCGAAGGCGGCUAUCUGGAUCAAUACUGACGCUAAGGUGCGAAAGCGUGGGGAGCAAACAGG
Molecule: ribosomal RNA, 253 nt
Filed under: uncultured bacterium
Lineage: Bacteria
Description: partial 16S ribosomal RNA
Rfam family: Bacterial small subunit ribosomal RNA
Source: RNAcentral